UGCUUACCAUGCAAGUCGAACGAUGAUCUCCAGCUUGCUGGGGGGAUUAGUGGCGAACGGGUGAGUAACACGUGAGUAACCUGCCCUUAACUCUGGGAUAAGCCUGGGAAACUGGGUCUAAUACCGGAUAUGACUCCUCAUCGCAUGGUGGGGGGUGGAAAGCUUUUGUGGUUUUGGAUGGACUCGCGGCCUAUCAGCUUGUUGGUGAGGUAAUGGCUCACCAAGGCGACGACGGGUAGCCGGCCUGAGAGGGUGACCGGCCACACUGGGACUGAGACACGGCCCAGACUCCUACGGGAGGCAGCAGUGGGGAAUAUUGCACAAUGGGCGCAAGCCUGAUGCAGCGACGCCGCGUGAGGGAUGACGGCCUUCGGGUUGUAAACCUCUUUCAGUAGGGAAGAAGCGAAAGUGACGGUACCUGCAGAAGAAGCGCCGGCUAACUACGUGCCAGCAGCCGCGGUAAUACGUAGGGCGCAAGCGUUAUCCGGAAUUAUUGGGCGUAAAGAGCUCGUAGGCGGUUUGUCGCGUCUGCCGUGAAAGUCCGGGGCUCAACUCCGGAUCUGCGGUGGGUACGGGCAGACUAGAGUGAUGUAGGGGAGACUGGAAUUCCUGGUGUAGCGGUGAAAUGCGCAGAUAUCAGGAGGAACACCGAUGGCGAAGGCAGGUCUCUGGGCAUUAACUGACGCUGAGGAGCGAAAGCAUGGGGAGCGAACAGGAUUAGAUACCCUGGUAGUCCAUGCCGUAAACGUUGGGCACUAGGUGUGGGGGACAUUCCACGUUUUCCGCGCCGUAGCUAACGCAUUAAGUGCCCCGCCUGGGGAGUACGGCCGCAAGGCUAAAACUCAAAGGAAUUGAC
RNAcentral lists this ribosomal RNA (856 nucleotides) under Arthrobacter pascens. RNAcentral's name for it is "bacterial SSU rRNA". It matches the Rfam family "Bacterial small subunit ribosomal RNA", at positions 45 to 914 of the family's 1533-position model. The record is from RNAcentral. Lineage: Bacteria; Bacillati; Actinomycetota; Actinomycetes; Micrococcales; Micrococcaceae.